Long non-coding RNA from Clupea harengus (Atlantic herring), 1318 nucleotides. RefSeq lists it as uncharacterized. The record is from RefSeq and is a predicted model, not a curated record. NCBI's taxonomy places the organism in Eukaryota, Metazoa, Chordata, Actinopteri, Clupeiformes, Clupeidae.
UGUGAUUGGUCACUCGCCAGCCUGCUGUCGAAGUGACGUCACUGCAGGCGAGAGCUGGCUGAGGAGGAAGCAUUAAGGAGAGAAACUAGAGGCUCAGAAGGCAGUGCGAGCAUCACAGGCGUGGUGGCAAGUAGCAGCGAACAUCGGCUCUCGGCACCACGGGAAUUGAUUGGGGACCGGGUAAGCGCGAAGAUGAUUUGUGUCACGGGUUGAGGCCGACUCGCAGUUAGGAGCAAAUACUGUGCGUAGACCUACCGGGAAGAAUUCCCCAUCUUGGAAAUAAACUGCUACUUCAACAUGGAUCGUUGAAACAUUAGCAUUCGUUGACUGAACACCCUCUGCGCUUGUCAAGAAACCCCAGCAGCUGAUCCAUGUCUUGUAGUUGAAGCUGUUGGAUGAUUCCUACUACCAGCAGCCUAAAAUUGUUCUGGUAACCCAUCAAGAUGGUACGCUCUCGGCUACAGCAUCCACAAUGGAGCCCCUCAACCCGUCGCCUGGUUGAUCAUACAGUCUUAACGGAGUGGAAUAAACAUUUCAUCGUACAAAAAGUCAGGCGCUGGCAAUGCGUUGCCAGGCUUUGUGGAUAAAAAGGAAGUCGGUUACUAUCUUUGGUUAUCUAGCUGUAUGAGUGAUAAUCUAUCGUCAUAAAGCUAGAUCACCGAAAGUAGAAAUGGCAUCCCAAAACAGCGAUUUGGACGAAUGGUUUUCCAAAAUACCAAGAACAAAUGAGCAUGUUCGGGCCAGUCUGAAGCUAACUACAAAGGUACGGUCCAAAUCCCCCAUCAACGACAUCUGUAACGGCACCGAGCCUAACAGCAGCAGGCCUACAUGUGUCCGCCUGCCACCUACUCUGGGGGCUCGAGGGGAAGAAGAAGGCAGGAAGGGAAGGAGGUGGGGUGAAUGGCACAAUCGUCCAAAAGAAAUAAUAGUCACCCUCUUACACUCCUUCUACCAACACCCACCACACACACACACACACACAGACACACACACACACCCCUUUGCCCCUCCCCUCCAUCAACGGAAGCCUUCGGUGCCAUCUGUGCCCCCGGGAGGAUGGAAGAAAGAAAGGGGUGCGAAAAAUAAGGACAAGCUCCAGCCCUGGUGCCAAUGUGGGGACAAAGAGGCUGUUGGUUUCCACGCUCCUGGCGUCUUUCAGCAGGGGAAGGGGAACUGUAAUGCUACAGCUAGGCUGGCUGAGCCUGCUCCAGAAGCCAUCUUGAUGAAGACUCACGCCUGCCCUAACUAAAAUGGCUGUGUUGGCAUGAGGGUUUUGGAGAAGACUGCAAUUGAACAACAAGAGAGCAUUCAGCAUUCA